Arvicola amphibius (Eurasian water vole) is the source of this 609-nucleotide non-coding RNA. Lineage: Eukaryota; Metazoa; Chordata; Mammalia; Rodentia; Cricetidae. The record is from the annotation of a RefSeq genome assembly.
AUGGACUUAGGGCUCAUACUGUUUUUCUCUGUCCUUAUUUUAAAAGGUGUUCAUUGUGAGGUGCAAUUGCUGGAGUCUGGGGGAGGCUUAGUGCAGCCUGGAAAGUCCCUGAAACUCUCCUGUGCAGCGUCUGGAUUCACCUUUAGUAGUUAUGACAUGAGUUGGGUCCGGCAGGCUCCAGGGAAGGGACUGGAGGGGGUUGCAUACAUUAGUUUCAAUGGUGAUAUCACCCACUAUACCGACACUAUGAAGGGCCGGUUCACAGUCUCCAGAGACAAUGCCAAGAACACUCUGUACCUGGAAAUGAGCAGUCUGAAGUCAAAGGACACAGCCAUUUAUUAUUGUGCAAGAGACACAGUGACAGAAAUUAUAGUGAAGCUUCAGGAGACAAGACCUAGGCUGAUUAAGCUCUCACACUCAUCUUCCCUCAGCUGCAUUGUCGAUGAUUACUCCAUCACCAGCCUGGGCCUGGAUUUGACAGCUCCAAGGAAAGGUCCUAGAGUGUGUGAGUUAUGUAAGUCGUGGUUGGUAGUUGUGGCACCAUUUAUAGUCCUUCCUACAAGAGCCACAUUUCAUACUAGUGAAACAUCUGAGAACCAGUUCUUCUGA